GACUACAGGUUAGAUCCACUAAACUCUUAGAGAAAUUAUAUUAAUAAACGAAGUGAAUUGAAAUAUCUUAGUAACUUCAGGAAAAGAAAUCAAACGAGAUUCUAUGAUUAGUGUGAAUGAAAGUAGAAAAGCCUAAUAAUUAAGCAAGUAAAAUGGAUUAAUCUGUUUGAAUAUAGGGGAACCUUCCUCUAAGGCUAAAUAUGAUAUAUAAGCGAUAGUGAACUAGUACCGUGAGGGAAAUAUCCUGAAAUAGUAGUUUUAUAAGCAGCUCAAGUUAAGUUAAAAAAAAACGAGAGCGUACCUUUUGUAUAAUGGGUCAGCAAGUUAAUAUUAGAUGCGAGCAUAGCACUAUGCCUAGAUAAACCGAUUAUGAAAAAAUGAUAAGUAUCUAAUAUUAGACCCGAAGCCUAGUGAUCUUACCAUGAUCAGGUUUAUAAAAGACCGAACGGGUUAUCGUUGUAAAGAUAUCCGAAGAAUCGUGGUAAGUUAGUGAAAGACAAUACUGACUAGGAUAGCUGGUUUUCCGCGAAACCUAUAUAAGUAGGUAAUUCAAGUAACAUCUUAGCAGGUACAGAACUGUGAUCUCAGGCAAAAUUAUAUUAUUUUGGGUUUCUAAGAUAAUAGUUUUGCAUACAUCGGGGGAUCGUGAAGAUUUUAUUGGUGAGUAUUUGCUCUCGGAAGGGCAAAGAUGAAUAUUGAAUAAUCAGACAUAGUACGAUAAGGUUGUAUGUCAAAAGGGAAACAGCCCAGAACAAGUGUUUAAGGUUCCAAAAUUAUUGUUAAGUGAAAUUAAGGAAGUAUUUUUCAUAUACAACCAGGAAAUGGGCUUAGAAGCGGCCAUUUUUUGAAGACCUCGUAACAGAGCACUGGUUCAACUAUAAAUUAAUGCAAAUUAAUUUAUACAAGUUAAAAGCGCCGAAAAUAUACCGGAUCUAAAACAAUAUACCGACACCUUGUCCAUAUUUAUUAAUAUUAAAUAAUAAAACAUUACCCUCCUCCAACACUUCUUAUAAAUAAGUGUUGGAGGAAAUAACCCUCUUAUGGGAUGGGCAAGUUUUUUUUUUGUAUUGUAUUUAUGGGGUAGCGGAACGUUGGGUAAAUCUUAGAUUUUUACUUUUUAAGUAAAAAAAAUAAGGGACGGACUUAAGGACCCGAUCCUUGUAAGAUACCCCAAGUGAGAAUGCUGACAUGAGUAACGAAAAAGGGGAAUACCCUCGCCUUAAGCUUAUGGAAUUUUUCUUAAAAGUAACGGCCUCUAAGUUUAUAGACCUGCCCUAAAGGACUAAACGAUGAGAAAAUCUAUCUUACGGGGAGAUUAACCUUAAGGCUAAACCGUUUGGGAAGAAAGAAUAAAGCAGUGUUCUUCUUUAAGAAUCAGUUAGGCCAUUAGAGUAUUAAGUGUUCUGGAAAAAUCGUAAGAGUACUAUGGGUGGUAUGUCGGCUGCUACUUUUGCAAGUUUUCCUUUUUUUUUUGUACUUUUACAAACUUGUAAAAGUACAAAAAAAAAUACGGAGACCUUGCAAAUCCCGCGUACCGCUCUUUCAUGCUUUUUCAUUUAUAUAUAUAUAUAUAUAUAAAGGGGGCUUGUCAAAAAGUAGCACCAUGCCACCGUACCUAGAAACUACCACCAGUAAGCGAGUAGAGAAUACGAAGGCGCUUGAGCUAACAAUCAUUAAGGAACUCGGCAAAUUGACUCCGUAACUGAGGGAUAAGGAGUGCCAUUCUAACUGAUUAAUAUCAGGUUUAGAAGAGGAGGCACAGAAUGGUGUUGUACGACUGUUUAAUUAAAACACAGCACUUUGCGUAAGAUGACAAAUCGAAGUAUAAAGUGUGCCGUCUGCCCGAUGAUGGAUGGUUAACGAAUUUAUUUAGCUGACUAAAAUAGGCUAGGUUUUGAAGGAACCCCCAUUCAAUGGCGGCCUUAUCUAUAAGGGUCCUAAGGUAGCGGAAUACCUUGGCCGUUAAAUGCGGUCUUUGCAUGAAUGAUAAAACGAUACAACAGCUGUCUCAAUGAUUGGCUCAGUGAAAUUG
Molecule: non-coding RNA, 2032 nt
Filed under: Diplodia corticola
Lineage: Eukaryota; Fungi; Ascomycota; Dothideomycetes; Botryosphaeriales; Botryosphaeriaceae
Description: Botryosphaeria corticola Bacterial large subunit ribosomal RNA
Rfam family: Bacterial large subunit ribosomal RNA
Source: Rfam by way of RNAcentral